Non-coding RNA from Filobasidium floriforme, 109 nucleotides. The record is from the annotation of a RefSeq genome assembly. NCBI's taxonomy places the organism in Eukaryota, Fungi, Basidiomycota, Tremellomycetes, Filobasidiales, Filobasidiaceae.
GGAGACGUGGGAGAGUGGUCUAAUCCGCCGUGUUAAGGUCUGUAUUCUGAUGUCAAGAUUCAAAGUCCCGCGGUCCUUCGGGGCGAGCGUUCGAAUCGCUCCGUCUUCA